GNUCAUGGCUCAGGAUGAACGCUGGCGGCGUGCUUAACACAUGCAAGUCGAACGAACCUUCGGGUUAGUGGCGGACGGGUGAGUAACGCGUGAGAAUCUGCCCUCAGGAGGGGGAUAACGGUUGGAAACGACCGCUAAUACCCCAUAUGCCUACUGGUGAAAUGAAUUUCGCCUGAGGAUGAGCUCGCGUCUGAUUAGCUAGUUGGUGAGGUAAUGGCUCACCAAGGCUUCGAUCAGUAGCUGGUCUGAGAGGAUGAUCAGCCACACUGGGACUGAGACACGGCCCAGACUCCUACGGGAGGCAGCAGUGGGGAAUUUUCCGCAAUGGGCGAAAGCCUGACGGAGCAACGCCGCGUGAGGGACGAAGGCCUCUGGGCUGUAAACCUCUUUUCUCAAGGAAGAAGAUAUGACGGUACUUGAGGAAUAAGCCACGGCUAAUUCCGUGCCAGCAGCCGCGGUAAUACGGGAGUGGCAAGCGUUAUCCGGAAUUAUUGGGCGUAAAGCGUCCGCAGGCGGCUUUUCAAGUCUGCUGUUAAAGCGUGGAGCUUAACUCCAUCAUGGCAGUGGAAACUGAAAGGCUUGAGUAUGGUAGGGGCAGAGGGAAUUCCCGGUGUAGCGGUGAAAUGCGUAGAUAUCGGGAAGAACACCAGUGGCGAAGGCGCUCUGCUGGGCCAUUACUGACGCUCAUGGACGAAAGCCAGGGGAGCGAAAGGGAUUAGAUACCCCUGUAGUCCUGGCCGUAAACGAUGAACACUAGGUGUCGGGGGAAUCGACCCCUUCGGUGUCGUAGCUAACGCGUUAAGUGUUCCNCCUGGGGAGUACGCACGCAAGUGUGAAACUCAAAUGAAUUGACGG
Molecule: ribosomal RNA, 855 nt
Filed under: uncultured Prochlorococcus sp.
Lineage: Bacteria; Bacillati; Cyanobacteriota; Cyanophyceae; Synechococcales; Prochlorococcaceae
Description: SSU rRNA
Rfam family: Bacterial small subunit ribosomal RNA
Source: RNAcentral